UACGAAGGGUGCAAGCGUUACUCGGAAUUACUGGGCGUAAAGCGUGCGUAGGUGGUUUGUUAAGUCUGUUGUGAAAGCCCCGGGCUCAACCUGGGAAUGGCAAUGGAUACUGGCAAGCUAGAGUGCGGUAGAGGGUAGUGGAAUUCCCGGUGUAGCGGUGAAAUGCGUAGAGAUCGGGAGGAACACCAGUGGCGAAGGCGGCUCCCUGGACCAGCACUGACACUGAGGCACGAAAGCGUGGGGAGCAAACAGG
Molecule: ribosomal RNA, 253 nt
Filed under: uncultured bacterium
Lineage: Bacteria
Description: partial 16S ribosomal RNA
Rfam family: Bacterial small subunit ribosomal RNA
Source: RNAcentral